MicroRNA precursor from Pediculus humanus corporis (human body louse), 103 nucleotides. NCBI's taxonomy places the organism in Eukaryota, Metazoa, Arthropoda, Insecta, Psocodea, Pediculidae. The record is from RefSeq and is a predicted model, not a curated record.
CGGUUGAUGAAGUAAGAGCAACAGCAGGAGGAGCAAAAGGAGCAGCAGCAGCAGCCGCUGUUACUGCUCCUGCUCCUUCUGCUCCUCAUAUUUUCUUUUUCUC